Molecule: non-coding RNA, 308 nt
Organism: Cinara cedri
Lineage: Eukaryota; Metazoa; Arthropoda; Insecta; Hemiptera; Aphididae
Source: the annotation of a GenBank genome assembly
ACGCUCUCUUUAUAUGGAAAUCUCGUAAUGGAAUAGAAGAGAUUGCUGAAUUGUAAAAUUAAAAUAAAAAACAUUUGAAACGGCUAAAAAACAAAUAAAAAGAACGGACAUACUUCGCCUGUGGGCGCAGACAAUGUUGUAGGUGGGAAAUUGGGAAGGUAGGAAAUAGACGAAAUUUAAUGUACAUCUGUUAAUAACGAUAAACCGUUGCUAACGAAUAAACGAUUCUAAGCGGAGUUUAGUUGAUAAUGUUGCUUUGUCAACAAUAAAAUAUAUGUUACUAUGCCAUAUUAUGGUAGAAUGAUUAA